Molecule: long non-coding RNA, 338 nt
Filed under: Lupinus angustifolius (narrow-leaved blue lupine)
Lineage: Eukaryota; Viridiplantae; Streptophyta; Magnoliopsida; Fabales; Fabaceae
Description: long non-coding RNA (LANG_LNC001889)
Source: RNAcentral
CUAUUGAAGGUUGUAAUGGUUGGACAGAUGUAUUGAGAAGUCACAUUCAGCAAAGGGCAGAAAGCCAAAAACGGAAACAAUAUUGCAACGGCGAUGGCGAUGGCGAUGGCGAUGGUGAUGAGUAGUGAGGCAACGAUGACAGAGAAGUUGCGUGCUUCUGCACUUCUGCAUGGUUCUGCAAUUCUACGUUUUUACUCACCUUCUGUUUUCUAAUUUAGGUUUUUGGGAAUUUAGAUUCUAGUAUUUUUUUUAAUUUGCGGUUGGAUCGGUUUAUUUAACUAACCUGGUUUGACUGAAUUUCACACAGUGAAAAACGAUUGGAAGGGAGGAGAGGUUAU